This 285-nucleotide unclassified non-coding RNA is filed under the name uncultured fungus. Its description in RNAcentral is "partial contains small subunit ribosomal RNA, internal transcribed spacer 1, and 5.8S ribosomal RNA". The stretch from base 1 to 73 matches the Rfam family "Eukaryotic small subunit ribosomal RNA", at positions 1759 to 1831 of the family's 1831-position model. The record is from RNAcentral. Lineage: Eukaryota; Fungi.
GCAAACUUGGUCAUUUAGAGGAAGUAAAAGUCGUAACAAGGUUUCCGUAGGUGAACCUGCGGAAGGAUCAUUAUUGAUUUUAAAAGGGGAUGUGCUGGCUCUCUCGCAUGUGCACUCCUCAUAAAACCAAUUUUAUCCACCUGUGCACUCACAAGUAGACCUGAGGUUCUCUCUAGUCUAUGUUAUUUCACAAACUAUCAUUUAUAUAAUUGAAUGGUUACUUCAUAUGUUAAAACAACUUUCAACAAUGGAUCUCUUGGUUCUCGCAUCGAUGAAGAACGCAGC